RNAcentral lists this non-coding RNA (92 nucleotides) under unclassified sequences. The record is from RNAcentral.
UGACAGGCCGCGCGCGCGAAACUAUGGUCCGCCCGCUAGGCUGGCACGAAAAACCCGGCGACCAGCCUCCCCGUCAAUCGCGAGAGGUGUGG